UUCGUGCAAUGGGUAUGAAUGUUGUUUUUGGCGGCGUAUGCGCUGUCCUGUGUUGAUAGACGUCUUAAUAAUUCCAAAAAAAAUAAUUUUUCCAUGAAGUCAUGCGUGAGGGGAUCGGUUCUGAUUGAGGACAUCGUGAAUGCGUGAGGGGAAGUACAAACAUUUUUUUUUUAAUCUUUGGCUUUGUGACUUUUGUUGACUCAAUGAAUAAAUGUGAUCAAAUCAAUGCUGAUUAAAAAGCACAGAUUUAUCCUUAUACUUUAAUAGACGUAAACUGAUCACUGAUUCAAUGAAAUCAAACUAUAAAUUG
Molecule: long non-coding RNA, 310 nt
Filed under: Mytilus galloprovincialis (Mediterranean mussel)
Lineage: Eukaryota; Metazoa; Mollusca; Bivalvia; Mytilida; Mytilidae
Source: RNAcentral